GGCUUCUUGAUUGAAUAGGAAGUCUGACCUGCCCGGUGAAUAUGAAUUUAACGGCCGCGGUAUUUUGACCGUGCAAAGGUAGCAUAAUCAUUAGUCUUUUAAUAGAGGGCUGGAAUGAAGGGUUUGACGAAAUGCUUACUGUCUCAUUUAAUUUGAAAUUUGAAUUUAACUUUUUAGUUAAAAGGCUAAAAUUUUAUUGGAAGACGAGAAGACCCUAUAGAGCUUUAUAUUUUAAAAUUUAAAGUUGUAUUGAAAUAAUUAAUAGGCUUUAGAUGGGGAAAUAUUCUGUUGGGGUGACAAAAAUAUAUGAUAAACUUUUUUAUUUAAAUAACAUUGAUAUAUGAAUAUUAGAUCCAUUAUUAUUGAUUGAUAGAGAAAGUUACCUUAGGGAUAACAGCGUAAUCUUCCUCCAGAGUUCAAAUUUACAGGAAGGCUUGCGACCUCGAUGUUGGAUUAAGAUAAUAAUUAGGUGUAGCCGCUUAAUUAAUAGGUCUGUUCGACCUUUAAAUUCUU
RNAcentral lists this ribosomal RNA (513 nucleotides) under Chlorogomphus papilio. Its description in RNAcentral is "partial 16S ribosomal RNA". It matches the Rfam family "Bacterial large subunit ribosomal RNA", at positions 1832 to 2597 of the family's 2925-position model. Lineage: Eukaryota; Metazoa; Arthropoda; Insecta; Odonata; Chlorogomphidae. The record is from RNAcentral.